RNAcentral lists this ribosomal RNA (541 nucleotides) under uncultured Comamonadaceae bacterium. Its description in RNAcentral is "partial 16S ribosomal RNA". It matches the Rfam family "Bacterial small subunit ribosomal RNA", at positions 28 to 612 of the family's 1533-position model. The record is from RNAcentral. Lineage: Bacteria; Pseudomonadati; Pseudomonadota; Betaproteobacteria; Burkholderiales; Comamonadaceae.
AACGAAAGCUGGGGGCAGGCUUUACACAUUCGAAGCGAGCGCCCCUCCGGGUAGGCCAGACGGGUGAGUAAAGCAUGGGAAUCUACCUGGCUCUACGGAUUACCUCAGGGAAACUUGAACUUAAUACCGUUUACGUCCCUCGGGAGAAAGAUUUUAUGGAGGUAGGAUGAGCCCAUGUUUGAUUAGUUAGUUGGUGAGGUAAAAGGCUCACCAAGGCGACGAUCAGUAGCUGGUCUGAGAGGAAUGAUCAGCCCCCUUGGGACUGAGACCCGGCCCAAGACUCUAACGGGAGGGAAGCAGUGGGGAAAUUUUGGACAAUGGGCGCCAAGCUUAUCCCGGCCAUGCCCCUUAAUAUUAAGGGCCUUAGGUUUUUAAGGGCUUUUUCCCGGGGGAAGAAAUUAAGGAAAAUGGAAAAAAAACCCCCCGCUAAAUUCGGGGCCGGGGCCGGGGUAAAUGGGAGGGGGGUUUUUUUUUUUUGAAAUUAACGGGGGGUGGGGGGGGGUAGGCGCUCCGUGAAAUAGGGAAAAAACCCCCCACUUCA